This 496-nucleotide ribosomal RNA is filed under the name uncultured bacterium. RNAcentral's name for it is "partial 16S ribosomal RNA". It matches the Rfam family "Bacterial small subunit ribosomal RNA", at positions 29 to 507 of the family's 1533-position model. The record is from RNAcentral.
AUGAACGCUGGCGGCGUGCCUAAUACAUGCAAGUCGAGCGCACAGAUAAGGAGCUUGCUCCUUUGACGUUAGCGGCGGACGGGUGAGUAACACGUGGGUAACCUACCUAUAAGACUGGGAUAACUUCGGGAAACCGGAGCUAAUACCGGAUAACAUUUGGAACCGCAUGGUUCUAAAGUGAAAGAUGGUUUUGCUAUCACUUAUAGAUGGACCCGCGCCGUAUUAGCUAGUUGGUAAGGUAACGGCUUACCAAGGCGACGAUACGUAGCCGACCUGAGAGGGUGAUCGGCCACACUGGAACUGAGACACGGUCCAGACUCCUACGGGAGGCAGCAGUAGGGAAUCUUCCGCAAUGGGCGAAAGCCUGACGGAGCAACGCCGCGUGAGUGAUGAAGGGUUUCGGCUCGUAAAACUCUGUUAUUAGGGAAGAACAAAUGUGUAAGUAACUGUGCACGUCUUGACGGUACCUAAUCAGAAAGCCACGGCUAACUACGUG